RNAcentral lists this transfer RNA (86 nucleotides) under Deltaproteobacteria bacterium. Its description in RNAcentral is "tRNA-Phe". It matches the Rfam family "tRNA". Rfam says of the family: Transfer RNA (tRNA) molecules are approximately 80 nucleotides in length. Their secondary structure includes four short double-helical elements and three loops (D, anti-codon, and T loops). Further hydrogen bonds mediate the characteristic L-shaped molecular structure. tRNAs have two regions of fundamental functional importance: the anti-codon, which is responsible for specific mRNA codon recognition, and the 3' end, to which the tRNAs corresponding amino acid is attached (by aminoacyl-tRNA synthetases). tRNAs cope with the degeneracy of the genetic code in two manners: having more than one tRNA (with a specific anti-codon) for a particular amino acid; and 'wobble' base-pairing, i.e. permitting non-standard base-pairing at the 3rd anti-codon position. Lineage: Bacteria; Pseudomonadati; Myxococcota; Myxococcia. The record is from RNAcentral.
GGGGCGUGGCUGAGUGGCUGAAAGCGCCCGAUUGAAACUCGGGAGGCCUCGAAAGGGGCUCGGGGGUUCGAAUCCCUCCGCCUCCG